Molecule: small nucleolar RNA, 132 nt
Organism: Ailuropoda melanoleuca (giant panda)
Lineage: Eukaryota; Metazoa; Chordata; Mammalia; Carnivora; Ursidae
Source: Ensembl
CUGCAAGCCUCCAGCGUGCUUGGGUCUGGGGUGACCCUGUGCAUUCCUACAGUGCUUGCGAGAGCAUCCUGAAACGGUUUGAGGCCUUGCCCUGCUCCAUCCAAGGCAAGGUUAUAGAAAUUUCAGACAGGU